Non-coding RNA from Podarcis lilfordi (Lilford's wall lizard), 1992 nucleotides. NCBI's taxonomy places the organism in Eukaryota, Metazoa, Chordata, Lepidosauria, Squamata, Lacertidae. The record is from the annotation of a GenBank genome assembly.
AGCAGAUGCAUUGGCAGCAGUCAGAAAAGGCGUCGCUCUAUUUGCUGCGGAUUUUGGGAGCGACACGGGGACCUUUGUUUACUGCGUGGGGAAGAAAAGCCACUCCUAAGUCCAUAGGCGGAGUUCCAAUGCUUGGCGGUGCAGUAAUGGGGGGAAACUUCACCGGUUGGACUUCUGCCUGUCUGGCAGGUGUUGGCAGCUUUUCCAGGGACUAUGCAGAGCCACUCGGGGCAGCAGGGCAGGGAAAGCCCCGGUGCAGAGGUCUGCGAGGCACCAAAUCUUGACAUUCUGCUUCCCCAACUUAACUGCCUAGUGUUUAAUAAUAACAAUAAUAAUAAUAAUAAUACGUUUUUAUUUAUACCCCGCCCAUGUGACUGGGUUUCCCCAGCCACUCUGGGCGGCUUCCAGCAAAAUAUUAAAAUACAAUAAUUCAUCAAAUAUUAAAAGCUUCUCUAAACAGGGCUGCCUUCAGAUGUCCUCUAAAACUCAGGUAGUUGUUUAUUUCUUUGACAUCUGGUGGAAGGGCAUUCCACAGGGUGGGCGCCACUACCGAGAAGGCCCUCUGCCUGGUUCCAAUGACAGAAUAGCUGUGCUAUCCGUGACUGUUUCUUCCUAAUGGUACCCUGUCUCACUGGCAGGUGUGACUAUAAUCAUCUCAACAAAUCAUCUCAAGGUUAUAGGUGUGGGAUUUUUUUAAUCAUGCAUGUAAACUGAUUAUCACUGACUAUAUUUUCAACUCCCACCUUACCAUUUUCUCUCUUACAGCGUCUACCAAUUUAAGAUUUCCCUUCAGGCAUAGGAUGAAGUGGCCUUGAACCCAUGAAAGCCUAUCUAUGAAUCUUGCUAGUCUUUCAGGCGACACAAGAUGUCACCUCCCCUGGGAUGACAGAUGGACUGUGAAACCACUCUGCGAAUUAUAGCUCUGCGAGGGCAACAAGGGGUCUCCUACCAACCUACAACCCUCUUAAACCCUUUGGGGGAAAGCCAGGACUGUUUAGAGCAGUUUGCUGCUUUAAAUGCAAUAGUCUGGAGAAGGCCUGCAUUACUGAUUGAGUCUCUGCAGAGGGAGUGACUGAAUGACCCAACUCAGUAGAAUUAGCCACUCCCAACAAAUGCCGACAAACGUCAUCCUCCUCGGAUGGAAGCUUUGAGCUCACAGGAAGCCUAGAAUUUAUUUACUUACCACAGUCAAGAAAAUCUACCGUUCUUGCUCCACUGAAGCUUUGGAACAGCUUUUGUUGUUGUUGUUGCUUAAUUCCCUAAAGCAGUAGUUUUCAACCAGUGUGCCGUGGCACCCUGGGGUGCCUUGAAUGAUGAUUGGGGUGCCAUAAGCAACACUGGCCUCUAUCCCUCUUUCCUCCCUCCUGAUGCCCUCUCAUGUCUCUGCCUACCAAAGGCUUGUGCGGCUGUUUGAUGCAGCAGCCCUGGCUACAAGCUCCCCAGGUCAAUGGUACCUCUGGGGUUGGCCAGGGGUUGCCUCACUGUGGGGCAGUGUGAGGAGGCACCUCUCCUUGGGGCAAGGGGGGCAGCUCAGAGACCAGGGGCGGCAGCUGCGGCUGCCCAGAGGACUCCCAAGGAGAGGGGAGGAGAGAGGAGGCUGAGUGAACACACUCCACAAGGAAGGGUGUUUGAAAAGGGGUGAGAGGCUGCCCACUCUGCAGGCAAGGGGUGACAUAACUCAGCUCCUGAGCCCCACAGGGGUGCCCCAGAAAGAAUGCAGUGGGUCGAUUGUUUUUGUAUGCCACAACUGCAGCUAGAAUUUUGUUAGCUAAGAAUUGGAAAACACAAGAAGUCCCAACAGUGGAGGAAUGGCAGAUGAAAAUGAUGGACCUUUCGGAGCUAGCCAACCUGACUGGAAGAGUCCACGACCAGGAGGAGGAGGAGUACCAGAAGGAAUGGAUGAAAUUUAAAAGACUAUUUAGUUAAAUAUGUUAAGAUAAUUUAAUUGGAAAAAUUUGCAAAUAUCGGAUAAGUUUAGGAUUUAAAUAUGUG